UAUGGAGGGGACUAGCGUUGUUCGGAAUUACUGGGCGUAAAGAGCUCGUAGGUGGUUUGUCGCGUUGUUCGUGAAAACUCACAGCUCAACUGUGGGCGUGCGGGCGAUACGGGCAGACUAGAGUACUGCAGGGGAGACUGGAAUUCCUGGUGUAGCGGUGGAAUGCGCAGAUAUCAGGAGGAACACCGGUGGCGAAGGCGGGUCUCUGGGCAGUAACUGACGCUGAGGAGCGAAAGCGUGGGGAGCGAACAGG
This 253-nucleotide ribosomal RNA is filed under the name uncultured bacterium. Its description in RNAcentral is "partial 16S ribosomal RNA". It matches the Rfam family "Bacterial small subunit ribosomal RNA", at positions 524 to 776 of the family's 1533-position model. The record is from RNAcentral.